RNAcentral lists this ribosomal RNA (118 nucleotides) under Octodon degus (degu). The record is from RNAcentral. Lineage: Eukaryota; Metazoa; Chordata; Mammalia; Rodentia; Octodontidae.
GUCUACGGCCAUACCACCCUGAAAGCGCCCGCUCUCGUCUGAUCUCGGAAGCUAAGUAGGGUCGGGCCUGGUUAGUACUUGGAUGGCAGAUUGAGAAGAAAGCUUAUAACCUUAACCA